GCACAAGCGGAGGAGCAUGUGGUUUAAUUCGAUGAUACGCGAGGAACCUUACCUGGGCUCGAACGUAAGAUGACUGUAGGUGAAAGCUUACAUCUCUUCGGAGCAUUUUACGAGGUGCUGCAUGGUUGUCGUCAGCUCGUGCCGUGAGGUGUCGGGUUAAGUCCCAUAACGAGCGCAACCCCUAUCAUUAGUUGCCAUCAGGUCAAGCUGGGGACUCUAAUGAAACUGCCUACGCAAGUAGUGAGGAAGGUGGGGAUGACGUCAAAUCAGCACGGCCCUUACGUCCGGGGCGACACACGUGUUACAAUGGGUGGUACAAAGGGCAGCUACCUGGCGACAGGAUGCUAAUCUCCAAAACCACUCUCAGUUCGGAUCGGAGUCUGCAACUCGACUCCGUGAAGCUGGAUUCGCUAGUAAUCGCGCAUCAGCCACGGCGCGGUGAAUACGUUCCCGGGCCUU
This 459-nucleotide ribosomal RNA is filed under the name uncultured Sphingobacteriales bacterium. RNAcentral describes it as "bacterial SSU rRNA". It matches the Rfam family "Bacterial small subunit ribosomal RNA", at positions 923 to 1382 of the family's 1533-position model. Lineage: Bacteria; Pseudomonadati; Bacteroidota; Sphingobacteriia; Sphingobacteriales. The record is from RNAcentral.